UCAAAACCUAAAAGCAGAUCCUUUCCAUCUUCACGUUCCUGCUCUCAUUUCUCUCACCUCCUCCGAGUUCUCUUUCAUUUUGUAAGAAACCCUAAACUGCAAAAUUGUGUCAUUGUAGUAUGAAAAUUAGAUGCUAGAUCUGGAACAGAUUUGGGUUUGCAGAGAGAACAAACUCCCUUUGGAUCCUGCUGUUGUUGCUUCUGCUGUUGAUGCUGUUGAUUAUAUCUCAUCUGAAAAUCUUAAACCCAUUCGGAUCCGGUUGUUAAGUUUAAGAGUCUAAUGGAAGGACUGGAGUCAAAGGACUGGCUAAAGAUUUGCGAUUCGUUGAACGAUGUGAGUCAAAGGACUGGCUAAAGAUUUGUGUCAGAAUGGGUCAUUCGAAGAAGCAGGUCGAACGCUUUCUUGCUUAAAAAGACACAGGUCGAAUGCAUUUUUGAUUAAAAAGAACCGGGUCGGAUGCAUUUUCGCUUAAAAAGAAGCAGCUCGAAUGGCUGGUACUCUUAUCGAAGAACUAAAAAGACUCAUCGAGACUACAUAUGAUAGGAGGCUGAGCUUAAACCUGGUGGAUUUUUUGUUUUGAAAGAAAACCUUGCAAGAUCUGAUGGGAAGAGUACCGGGGAUAUGGACGGGUAUGUCGGCUUUCAGGCUGUUUUAAGGCGAUCUUAAAAUUGUUUGGUAGCAGAUCUCGCAAAACAAUUCAUGCAACUCGUUCGGCACCACUUGGAUUCAGUCACAAGCCCGUAUUCUCAAGUUUGCUAUGAGACCGAUCUCUCAUAUGGGCCAGGCCCAAACUCUACUUUCAGAUACCAUACAUCUGCUACUUCAGCAUACCUCGAGUUAUCAGAUCAAGAAAAAAUACCUCCAGAAAAUAAUAAUAACAAUAGGAUCAGGAAAAGACAUCGGGAAGGCUUUUAAAAUCCGUAGGAGAAGCUUCGAUGACGGUUCCUGAGACACCGUCACCUGAUCAACCGCGUGACGGAAGUUUUGUUAUAAAAAAGGAACAUGGAAACAUCAUUGAAGGUGGAGCGAGAAAACGGCAUCAUAGGAUGCAUAACAAUAACAACCAAGUGUUGAGUAAUGUUAGUCAAAACGGUUCGCAAGCGGGGUCAACUUAUAGUGAGAUAUGCUCAUUGGCUGCACAACAUUUUGGGCGUAUACGUGAAGUUUUAGUCGAACGAAGUGUAACUUCAGCUUUGAAUUCAGGUUUUCUAACCCCAUACCGUGAACGUCUUAUGGUAGCAUUGGGACUGGAAUUAUUUACUGUAAAUGAUGAGAAAUUUAUGGAUAUGUUUGUUGCCCCUGGAGCGAUUGACAUUCUUCAGAAUGAACAACAGUCUCUUCAUAAGCGUCAGAAGAUACUACACUCUUGUUUGACUGAAUUUAAGUCGGUCGCAAGAUCCCUUUGACUGAAUUAAGUCAGUGACAGUGAAGUGGAAGCCAAUUCACUUGAGUUAUACGAGGAACCGUUUUGUGAAGCUGAUAGAUAUGAUUUAUGGUCUGCGUGCAAGUUGAGUACAUGCGUGUGUAUGUUUUUGUCAUAAGCUUUGCUAGAGGAAGCUGAUAGAUGUGAUUUAUGGUCUGCGUGCAAGUUGAGUACAUCAGAUUGCUCCCGGACACAACUCAAGAGACUUUACGGUCAUUGGUGCUGAUGUGUAAUUUUCCCUAACUUGAAUAUUUAUUCUUGUUUUUAAAGCAAAGUUAUAGAUGUUCUCAUUAAAGCUAACAAAUUUGCUUU
Molecule: RNA transcript, 1735 nt
Organism: Helianthus annuus (common sunflower)
Lineage: Eukaryota; Viridiplantae; Streptophyta; Magnoliopsida; Asterales; Asteraceae
Exons: 7
Source: RefSeq, a predicted model, not a curated record